GAUUAACGCUGGCGGCGUGCAUAACACAUUCAAGUCGAACGGUGACGGGGACUUCGGUCCCCUGAUCAGUGGCGGACGGGUGAGUAACGCGUGAGCAAUCUACCUCUUGGUGAGGGAUAACAACCGGAAACGGCUGCUAAUACCGCAUAACGUUAUCGGGUGGCAUCACUUGAUAACCAAAGAUUUAUCGCUCUGGGAUGGGCUCAUGUCUGAUUAGAUAGUUGGCGGGGUAACGGCCCACCAAGUCUACGAUCAGUAGCCGGACUGAGAGGUUGAACGGCCACAUUGGGACUGAGAUACGGCCCAGACUCCUACGGGAGGCAGCAGUGGGGAAUAUUGGGCAAUGGGCGCAAGCCUGACCCAGCAACGCCGCGUGAAGGAAGAAGGCUUUCGGGUUGUAAACUUCUUUUAUCAGGGACGAAACAAAUGACGGUACCUGAUGAAUAAGCCACGGCUAACUACGUG
RNAcentral lists this ribosomal RNA (465 nucleotides) under uncultured bacterium. Its description in RNAcentral is "bacterial SSU rRNA". It matches the Rfam family "Bacterial small subunit ribosomal RNA", at positions 28 to 507 of the family's 1533-position model. The record is from RNAcentral.